Molecule: transfer RNA, 87 nt
Filed under: Pseudomonas sp. ODNR1LW
Lineage: Bacteria; Pseudomonadati; Pseudomonadota; Gammaproteobacteria; Pseudomonadales; Pseudomonadaceae
Description: tRNA-Leu
Rfam family: tRNA
About the family: Transfer RNA (tRNA) molecules are approximately 80 nucleotides in length. Their secondary structure includes four short double-helical elements and three loops (D, anti-codon, and T loops).
Source: RNAcentral
GCGGGCGUGGCGAAACUGGUAGACGCAGCAGACUUAAAAUCUGCCGGGCGUAAGCCCUUGCCGGUUCGAUCCCGGCCGCCCGCACCA